This 2226-nucleotide ribosomal RNA is filed under the name Burkholderia cenocepacia. Its description in RNAcentral is "partial 23S ribosomal RNA". It matches the Rfam family "Bacterial large subunit ribosomal RNA", at positions 588 to 2818 of the family's 2925-position model. The record is from RNAcentral. Lineage: Bacteria; Pseudomonadati; Pseudomonadota; Betaproteobacteria; Burkholderiales; Burkholderiaceae.
AAGGGGUGACGGCGUACCUUUUGUAUAAUGGGUCAGCGACUUACGUUCAGUAGCAAGCUUAACCGUAUAGGGCAGGCGUAGCGAAAGCGAGUCCGAAUAGGGCGUUCAGUUGCUGGGCGUAGACCCGAAACCAGGUGAUCUAUCCAUGGCCAGGAUGAAGGUGCGGUAACACGUACUGGAGGUCCGAACCCACUAACGUUGAAAAGUUAGGGGAUGAGCUGUGGAUAGGGGUGAAAGGCUAAACAAACCUGGAAAUAGCUGGUUCUCUCCGAAAACUAUUUAGGUAGUGCCUCGUGUCUCACCUUCGGGGGUAGAGCACUGUCAUGGUUGGGGGGUCUAUUGCAGAUUACCCCGCCAUAGCAAACUCCGAAUACCGAAGAGUGCAAUCACGGGAGACAGACAUCGGGUGCUAACGUCCGGUGUCAAGAGGGAAACAACCCAGACCGCCAGCUAAGGUCCCCAAAUAUAGCUAAGUGGGAAACGAAGUGGGAAGGCUAAAACAGUCAGGAGGUUGGCUUAGAAGCAGCCACCCUUUAAAGAAAGCGUAAUAGCUCACUGAUCGAGUCGUCCUGCGCGGAAGAUGUAACGGGGCUAAGCUAUAUACCGAAGCUGCGGAUGCGUGCUUAGCACGCAUGGUAGGAGAGCGUUCCGUAAGCCUGCGAAGGUGCCUUGUAAAGGGUGCUGGAGGUAUCGGAAGUGCGAAUGCUGACAUGAGUAGCGAUAAAGGGGGUGAAAGGCCCCCUCGCCGUAAGCCCAAGGUUUCCUACGCAACGUUCAUCGGCGUAGGGUGAGUCGGCCCCUAAGGCGAGGCAGAAAUGCGUAGCUGAUGGGAAGCAGGUCAAUAUUCCUGCACCAUUGUUAGAUGCGAUGGGGGGACGGAUCGCGGAAGGUUGUCCGGGUGUUGGAAGUCCCGGUCGCUGCAUUGGAGAAGGCGCUUAGGCAAAUCCGGGCGCGUAAUUCAAGGGUGUGGCGCGAGCUCCCUAGGGAGCGAAGCAAUUGGAAGUGGUUCCAAGAAAAGCCUCUAAGCUUCAGUCUAACGAUGACCGUACCGCAAACCGACACAGGUGGGCGAGAUGAGUAUUCUAAGGCGCUUGAGAGAACUCGGGAGAAGGAACUCGGCAAAUUGGUACCGUAACUUCGGGAUAAGGUACGCCCUUGUAGCUUGACUGGCCUGCGCCAGGAGGGUGAAGGGGUUGCAAUAAACUGGUGGCUGCGACUGUUUAAUAAAAACACAGCACUCUGCAAACACGAAAGUGGACGUAUAGGGUGUGACGCCUGCCCGGUGCCGGAAGAUUAAAUGAUGGGGUGCAAGCUCUUGAUUGAAGUCCCGGUAAACGGCGGCCGUAACUAUAACGGUCCUAAGGUAGCGAAAUUCCUUGUCGGGUAAGUUCCGACCUGCACGAAUGGCGUAACGAUGGCCACACUGUCUCCUCCCGAGACUCAGCGAAGUUGAAGUGUUUGUGAUGAUGCAAUCUACCCGCGGCUAGACGGAAAGACCCCAUGAACCUUUACUGUAGCUUUGCAUUGGACUUUGAACCGAUCUGUGUAGGAUAGGUGGGAGGCUAUGAAACCGGAACGCUAGUUUCGGUGGAGCCGUCCUUGAAAUACCACCCUGGUUUGUUUGAGGUUCUAACCUUGGCCCGUGAUCCGGGUCGGGGACAGUGCAUGGUAGGCAGUUUGACUGGGGCGGUCUCCUCCCAAAGCGUAACGGAGGAGUACGAAGGUACGCUAGGUACGGUCGGAAAUCGUGCUGAUAGUGCAAUGGCAUAAGCGUGCUUAACUGCGAGACCGACAAGUCGAGCAGGUGCGAAAGCAGGUCAUAGUGAUCCGGUGGUUCUGUAUGGAAGGGCCAUCGCUCAACGGAUAAAAGGUACUCUGGGGAUAACAGGCUGAUACCGCCCAAGAGUUCAUAUCGACGGCGGUGUUUGGCACCUCGAUGUCGGCUCAUCUCAUCCUGGGGCUGUAGCCGGUCCCAAGGGUAUGGCUGUUCGCCAUUUAAAGAGGUACGUGAGCUGGGUUUAAAACGUCGUGAGACAGUUUGGUCCCUAUCUGCCGUGGGCGUUGGAUAUUUGAAGGGGGCUGCUCCUAGUACGAGAGGACCGGAGUGGACGAACCUCUGGUGUACCGGUUGUCACGCCAGUGGCAUCGCCGGGUAGCUAUGUUCGGAAGAGAUAACCGCUGAAAGCAUCUAAGCGGGAAACUCGCCUUAAGAUGAGAUAUCCCUGG